RNAcentral lists this long non-coding RNA (290 nucleotides) under Eucalyptus grandis. RNAcentral's name for it is "long non-coding RNA (EGRA_LNC002845)". The record is from RNAcentral. Lineage: Eukaryota; Viridiplantae; Streptophyta; Magnoliopsida; Myrtales; Myrtaceae.
AAUAAAGAAACAGGAUCUCAAGAGAGGAAAGUGAAUUGGAGUUAUUAAGAGAUAGAUGAACUCAUGACUCCUAAAGGAAAACAAAAGACCACCACCUCAUGCCACAAAGAUGUCAUGACAGAUAUGAGAAAUCGCCCUAUGCUUGAUGCCACAAGACUAUCAAAAUAUCAAUGCUAUUGUAGAGGCACAGGUCUAGCUUAAUACACUUCUUGCAUGCUACUUCAACAACUGAAAAUUUAUGCAAUCCCAUCUUUUGUUACCUUCUUGGAUACAUAUGUAGUUUAUCCAAU